AGAGAGAGACAUGCGCGCAUAUCAAUAAGCGGAGGAAAAGAAACUAACAAGGAUUCCCUUAGUAACGGCGAGUGAAGCGGGAAGAGCUCAAAUUUGAAAUCUUCAAGGUUUUACCUUGACGAAUUGUAGUUUAAAGAAGUGUUCUCUGCUGAAGUUUUGGUAAAAGUUCUUUGGAAUAGGACAUCAUAGAGGGUGAGAAUCCCGUAUUUGACCAUUAUUUUCAGCUUUGUGAUACACUUUCAAAGAGUCGGAUUGUUUGGGAAUGCAGUCCAAAAUGGGUGGUAAAUUUCAUCUAAAGCUAAAUAUUGGCGAGAGACCGAUAGCGAACAAGUACCGUGAGGGAAAGAUGAAAAGAACUUUGAAAAGAGAGUUAAACAGUACGUGAAAUUGUCAAAAGGGAAGCGUUUGACACCAGUGUUGUUUUCUCCGAAAAUCAAUUAAAAAUGGCUCGAUUUUGUAUUGUUGAGACCUUAAAAGCUCACUGUACAUUUUUCGUGUCUUUUUUAAUGCACUUUUCGUUUAACAAGUCAACAUCAGUUUCUUUUGUUGUAAAAGGGUCAUUGGAAGGUGGCUUUCUUUUCGGAGAAAGUGUUUAUAGCCUUUGGCCUCUGCAAUCGGAGAGAUUGAGGUCUGCAGCGUAGACUCCUUCGGGGUUAGAUACAUUUGUGCUAAGUUAUAGCCUUUUCAUAGACAACUUGUUGACUAUAAUCAGUCAUGUAGCUUACUCGCUUAUGCUAUUUUACCUACGCUUAGGAUGUUGAGUCGUAGAGCACGCAG
RNAcentral lists this ribosomal RNA (777 nucleotides) under uncultured Neocallimastigales. Its description in RNAcentral is "partial large subunit ribosomal RNA". It matches the Rfam family "Eukaryotic large subunit ribosomal RNA", at positions 23 to 634 of the family's 3401-position model. The record is from RNAcentral. Lineage: Eukaryota; Fungi; Neocallimastigomycota; Neocallimastigomycetes; Neocallimastigales.